GACGAACGCUGGCGGCAGGCCUAAUACAUGCAAGCCGAACGGCAAGAUUUUCAGCAAUGGAAAUCCUAGAGUGGCGUAAGGGUGCGUAACACGUAUGCAAUCUGCCCUCAACAGGAGGAUAGCUCCCCGAAAGGGGAAUUAAGACUCCAUAAGAUCUUAGAGUGGCAUCACUUAGAGAUUAAACUACCAGGGGUUGAGGAUGAGCAUGCGCAUGAUAGUUAGUUGGCGGGGUAACGCCCACCAAGACGAUGAUC
RNAcentral lists this ribosomal RNA (254 nucleotides) under uncultured bacterium. RNAcentral's name for it is "partial 16S ribosomal RNA". It matches the Rfam family "Bacterial small subunit ribosomal RNA", at positions 28 to 281 of the family's 1533-position model. The record is from RNAcentral.